Molecule: ribosomal RNA, 301 nt
Filed under: uncultured bacterium
Lineage: Bacteria
Description: partial 16S ribosomal RNA
Rfam family: Bacterial small subunit ribosomal RNA
Source: RNAcentral
CAGUAGCCGCGGGAAUACGUAGGGUGCAAGCGUUAAUCGGAAUUACUGGGCGUAAAGCGUGCGCAGGCGGUUAUAUAAGACAGAUGUGAAAUCCCCGGGCUCAACCUGGGAACUGCAUUUGUGACUGUAUAGCUAGAGUACGGCAGAGGGGGAUGGAAUUCCGCGUGUAGCAGUGAAAUGCGUAGAUAUGCGGAGGAUCACCGAUGGCGAAGGCAAUCCCCUGGGCCUGUACUGACGCUCAUGCACGAAAGCGUGGGGAGCAAACAGGAUUAGAGACCCCUGUAGUCCCUGUCUCUUAUAC